UACGGAGGGUGCAAACGUUGCUCGGAAUCAUUGGGCGUAAAGCGCACGUAGGCGGUCCGACAAGUCGGGUGUGAAAGCCCUCGGCUUAACCGAGGAAGUGCAUUCGAAACUAUCGGACUUGAAUACUGGAGAGGGUUGCGGAAUUCCCGGUGUAGAGGUGAAAUUCGUAGAUAUCGGCAGGAACACCCAGGGGGAAACCAGCCGGCUGGGGACGAGCUGACGCUCAGGGGCGAAAGCGUGGGGAGCGAACCGG
This 253-nucleotide ribosomal RNA is filed under the name uncultured bacterium. RNAcentral describes it as "partial 16S ribosomal RNA". It matches the Rfam family "Bacterial small subunit ribosomal RNA", at positions 524 to 776 of the family's 1533-position model. The record is from RNAcentral.